Molecule: long non-coding RNA, 258 nt
Filed under: Musa acuminata (dwarf banana)
Lineage: Eukaryota; Viridiplantae; Streptophyta; Magnoliopsida; Zingiberales; Musaceae
Description: long non-coding RNA (MACU_LNC009307)
Source: RNAcentral
AGCGGUGGGGCGUGAGGAGAAGAAGAAGAGAAGUAGAGGGAGAAGAGAAGAAGAGGGAAAAGAAGAGAGGAAGAAGAGGGAGAAGAGAAGAAAAGAAGAAGAAGAAGAGAGGGAAGAGGGAGAGGAAAGAGAGAUAGCGGCAGCAGCUAGGGCUGCAGCACCUCUGUUUCAUGUAGGAGGAAACAGAGAAGUUCAUGUGUGGGGCGUCGGGGAGGAGAAGGGAAGAAAAGGAGAAGAAGAGAAGCAGAGGAAGAGAAG